Non-coding RNA from Neolamprologus brichardi, 425 nucleotides. The record is from RefSeq and is a predicted model, not a curated record. NCBI's taxonomy places the organism in Eukaryota, Metazoa, Chordata, Actinopteri, Cichliformes, Cichlidae.
GAAGAAUCAUCUCACCUUGAUUUGUCGCACCGUCAACUCUCUGGGCUCGGCCAGUCAACAAUUUUGUGUCAGCACCCAACAAAUUUCCACAGAACAUCAACUUCUGUAUCCAGCGAUAAUAUCCACUCUUGGAGUGCUACUGUUAGCACUGUUACUAUAUGUGUUUUUUAUCAGGGCUCAGAAGAGUCCCUGUAAAAAUGAAGGUCACUUAACAGAUGAAAACAACACAGUUGCAACAAGUCAGCCUCUAACUGAAGAAGGGAAUGAGGAACCAAACACAACAGAAGAGUGCAUUUAUGCAAACGCUGAUGGGCUGAGAGGGGCAGAAAAUCUUCACCCUGCAAACAUCGCUGGACCAAGCAGCACUGACUUUCCAAACUCUGGGCCAAACCAUGCAGAAGGAGGAUGCAAAAAAUCAGACAAGA